Molecule: ribosomal RNA, 492 nt
Filed under: uncultured bacterium
Lineage: Bacteria
Description: partial 16S ribosomal RNA
Rfam family: Bacterial small subunit ribosomal RNA
Source: RNAcentral
AGUGAACGCUGGCGGUAGGCCUAACACAUGCAAGUCGAACGGCAGCACAGUAAGAGCUUGCUCUUACGGGUGGCGAGUGGCGGACGGGUGAGGAAUACAUCGGAAUCUACUUUUUCGUGGGGGAUAACGUAGGGAAACUUACGCUAAUACCGCAUACGACCUACGGGUGAAAGCAGGGGAUCUUCGGACCCUGCGCGAUUGAAUGAGCCGAUGUCGGAUUAGCUAGUUGGCGGGGUAAAGGCCCACCAAGGCGACGAUCCGUAGCUGGUCUGAGAGGAUGAUCAGGCGACCUAGAACUGAGACACGGUCCAAACUCCUACGGGAAGCAGCAGUGGGGAAUAUUGGACCAUGGGCGCAAGCCUGAUCCAGCCAUACCGCGUGGGUGAAGAAGGCCUUCGGGUUGUAAAGCCCUUUUGUUGGGAAAGAAAAGCAGCAGGUUAAUACCCCGCUGUUCUGACGGUACCCAAAGAAUAAGCACCGGCUAACUUCGUG